RNAcentral lists this ribosomal RNA (549 nucleotides) under uncultured bacterium. RNAcentral describes it as "bacterial SSU rRNA". It matches the Rfam family "Bacterial small subunit ribosomal RNA", at positions 355 to 896 of the family's 1533-position model. The record is from RNAcentral.
UGGGGAAUAUUGGACAAUGGGCGAAAGCCUGAUCCAGCCAUGCCGCGUGUGUGAAGAAGGCCUUUUGGUUGUAAAGCACUUUAAGUGGGGAGGAAAAGCUUGUGGUUAAUACCCAUAAGCCCUGACGUUACCCACAGAAUAAGCACCGGCUAACUCUGUGCCAGCAGCCGCGGUAAUACAGAGGGUGCAAGCGUUAAUCGGAAUUACUGGGCGUAAAGCGCGCGUAGGUGGUUAUUUAAGUCAGAUGUGAAAGCCCCGGGCUUAACCUGGGAACUGCAUCUGAUACUGGAUAACUAGAGUAGGUGAGAGGGGAGUAGAAUUCCAGGUGUAGCGGUGAAAUGCGUAGAGAUCUGGAGGAAUACCGAUGGCGAAGGCAGCUCCCUGGCAUCAUACUGACACUGAGGUGCGAAAGCGUGGGUAGCAAACAGGAUUAGAUACCCUGGUAGUCCACGCCGUAAACGAUGUCUACCAGUCGUUGGGUCUUUUAAAGACUUAGUGACGCAGUUAGCGCAAUAAGUAGACCGCCUGGGGAGUACGGCCGCAAGGUUA